GACUGAAAAAGGCAAACCCGUCGAAAGGCGGGGACGCAAAGCCACCGGUCUAAGGGAUUGUCCUAGGACAGCGGGGUUGCCAGG
RNAcentral lists this non-coding RNA (84 nucleotides) under Gammaproteobacteria bacterium. Its description in RNAcentral is "c-di-GMP sequence". It matches the Rfam family "c-di-GMP-I riboswitch aptamer". Rfam says of the family: GEMM was predicted in a large-scale screen for bacterial structured RNA regulatory elements. Genes associated with GEMM are involved in a diverse array of functions, including chemotaxis regulation, signal transduction, secretion and chitin. The record is from RNAcentral. Lineage: Bacteria; Pseudomonadati; Pseudomonadota; Gammaproteobacteria.